GUCGUGGUGGCUGAGUUGGUUAAGGCGUUAGACUUAAAAUCUUAUGGGAUUUAUUCCUGCGCAGGUUCGAAUCCUGUCCACGGCG
Non-coding RNA from Gigantopelta aegis, 85 nucleotides. NCBI's taxonomy places the organism in Eukaryota, Metazoa, Mollusca, Gastropoda, Neomphalida, Peltospiridae. The record is from the annotation of a RefSeq genome assembly.